CACAGGCGCUGCUCCCUGAUCCUACUAACUACAUCCAUUGUACCACCAGAAAAGAAGAGACUCUGGUUUUUGGGAAGUUUCAGCAGCCACAUACUACAAUUGCAAGUACUGAUAUUCCACCUACCCCUCUGUAUAUUAUACAGCACUGCCAAAUAUUGUAGCCAAUGUAAAAGUAACCCAAAGUGGACUGAAGGAGGCCAAG
Non-coding RNA from Pelobates cultripes (western spadefoot toad), 202 nucleotides. Lineage: Eukaryota; Metazoa; Chordata; Amphibia; Anura; Pelobatidae. The record is from the annotation of a GenBank genome assembly.